GGGUCCCACAAUGACAGCGCUAAGAUAAAAACCUGAGGUGUGUUCGAGGGGAUUUUGGAAGCAUAUUCCAGAGGGGGGUUGAGGAUCCAGUUUUGAGGACAGGGAACGAGGGGAAUGAGGGGACACCCUAUCCCUCUCCUCUCUGAGCGGAGGACAGGAUGGUACUGGAAAACACUGAGCUCUCUUUCCUUUCUGAGUUCACCACUGCCUCUGCUGCAGAUCAAGCUUCCCUAUACCACAAUGAGCUGCUUUCUCUGACAGGCUGGCCUAAGGACGUUUCCCUGGACUCAGAUGUGACUGUAUCUGAUAGGCAGGCUUAAGGACAUUUCCCUGGACUCAGAUGUGACUGUAUCUGAGAGGCUAGCCUAAGGACGUUUCCCUGGACUCAGAUGUGACUGUAUCUGAUGGGCUGGCCUAAGGACGUUUCCCUGGACUCAGGUGUGACUGUAUCUGAGAGGCUAGCCUAAGGACGUUUCCCUGGACUCAGGUGUGACUGUAUCUGGUGGGCUGGUCGAAGGACAUUUCCCUGGACUCAGAUGUGACUGUAUCUGAGAGGCUAGCCUAAGGACGUUUCCCUGGACUCAGGUGUGACUGUAUCUGAGAGGCUAGCCUAAGGACAUUUCCCUGGACUCAGAUGUGACUGUAUCUGAUGGGCUGGCCUAAGGACGUUUCCCUGGACUCAGAUGUGACUGUAUCUGAUGGGCUGGCCUAAGGACGUUUCCCUGGACUCAGGUGUGACUGUAUCUGAGAGGCUAGCCUAAGGACAUUUCCCUGGACUCAGAUGUGACUGUAUCUGAUGGGCUGGCCUGAGGACGUUUCCCUGGACUCAGAUGUGACUGUAUCUGAUGGGCUGGCCUAAGGACGUUUCCCUGGACUCAGGUGUGACUGUAUCUGGUGGGCUGGUCGAAGGACAUUUCCCUGGACUCAGAUGUGACUGUAUCUGAUAGGCAGGCUUAAGGACAUUUCCCUGGACUCAGAUGUGACUGUAUCUGAGAGGCUAGCCUAAGGACGUUUCCCUGGACUCAGGUGUGACUGUAUCUGAUGGGCUGGCCUAAGGACGUUUCCCUGGACUCAGAUGUGACUGUAUCUGAGAGGCUAGCCUAAGGACGUUUCCCUGGACUCAGGUGUGACUGUAUCUGACAGGCUAGCCUAAGGACAUUUUCCUGGACUCAGGUGUGACUGUAUCUGAGAGGCUAGCCUAAGGACGUUUCCCUGGACUCAGGUGUGACUGUAUCUGACAGGCUAGCCUAAGGACGUUUCUCUGGACUCAGGUGUGACUGUAUCUGGUGGGCUGGUCGAAGGACGUUUCCCUGGACUCAGAUGUGACUGUAUCUGACAGGCUAGCCUAUGGACGUUUCCUACAGUUGAAUGGAUGCAAGGUUCCAGAGAAAUAAACCUAUUUUGCUGCAUUAUUUGUCUCUGAGACGACAGAACGGGAAUCGUAACAAGUGCACAGGGGGACAGCUGUAUGUUGAAAGGUCGGGGAGGCAGGUAGCCUAGCGUUUAAGAGCAAAGGGCCAGUAAUGAAAAGGUCACUGGUUCAAAUCGCAGAGUCAACUACAUGAAAAGGCAAUGUACCCUGGAGCAAGCCACUUAACUGUAAUUGCUCUCAAUAAGUGUGUCUGAUAAGAACAUAUUAGCUGUAUGUGGCACAAAUGAUGAGACCUGAACCAAAAAAGUGUGUGCGUGGAAACACAUAUGUGUUCGAGAGGAAAAUCCCCUGUCAACCUCUCACCACUCUAUCAGUUGUUGCAAAGCUCAAGGGACUCUUGCUGUCAAGUCUGCACUGGCACUGAGAGAGACUGGGACCUGAUGUAAUAAAAAAGACAAGCAAACAAAUCAAAAAAAAUAACUACGAUGUCAAUCUAACAGAGAUCUGGGAGCCGCGACCUCUGGGGUGUCACAGAGACAAAUAUUCUGGUUCUGUUGUUCUUUGGUCUGUUUGAGACUUUCCGUUCUCAUGUCGACCUGUUGUCCAUCCCUGAUGAUAGAGAUGUGUGAUAAAAGCAGUGUUAAAACUACUCCUGCACACAAGUUUGCUUCUGCACCCUUGUAAAUAUGAAGGCCUAUCGGAACUUACACAUACAAAUAAACAAGCAUAAGUGAAUGUUAUUGCAGGGAGUAUUUUUUUGUCUUUGAGCAUAGAAUAUUGGUAAGAAUUUGUUUUAUUCCCAGCACCACAGAAAUAGGUGGUGGUGGUUGUGUGUGUGUGUGUGUGUGUGUGUGUGUGUGUGUGUGUGUGUGUGUGUGUGUGUGUGUGUGUGUGUGUGUGUGUGUGUGUGUGUGUGUGUGUGUGUGUGUGUGUGUGUGUGUGUGUGUGUGUGUGUGUGUGCGUGCGUGCGUGCGUGCGUAGCUCUGUUACAGUCUAAGGCUAAUAACUGUACUGUGCCACCCACCCCCUACUCCUAAACUCACCUAUACCCCUUUGCCCUCUAACCCACUUAUCUCAAUAAUAAACGGCUUCCCGGAAAUCCACACGCUUCCUUACAAAACCCUGAUUUGUUUGUAACCUAAACCCUGUCUCAUCUAAAAUCAGACCCUGACCCUGUCUCAUCUGAACCCAGACCCUGUCUCAUCUAAAAUCAGACUCUGACCCUGUCUCAUCUGAACCCAGACCCUGUCUCCUCUAAAACCAGACCCUGACCCUGUCUCAUCUAAAAUCAGACCCUGACCCUGUCUCAUCUGAACCCAGACCCUGUCUCCUCUAAAACCAGAAACCUCAGUCCUAACCAAACCCAGUUCAGACCCAGUUUAUCCUAUAGUAUCUGAUACAACUCUCAACCCUCUAAGCCAAACCCACAGACCUACCCCCACCCCCACCUUAUAGCUUAUCCAUCACCAUCCUAGGUCCCUACGCCCUCUGCAGUCCCCCAAAGCACAAAGGUUGGAGUGGUGUAGAAGUAAGCCCCGUGAAAGAGAAACCCUUCCAUUCUGUUCGUGUCUGUCUAUCUAUCUGUUUACGGCUUAUAAACUUUGUGCUUUUGUAUUCCGAAUGUACAGAGCCCCCCUCCCCUCCCUUCUCUGUCUAUAUCAGAACGUUGUAUAACUGUAUAUUCAAAACAAGGACUCUUCAUGUGCAAACAAAUCUAUUUCUUUCUUCUUCUUUUUGGUAAUUGUUCCAAGGUCAUAUAGUUUAAAAGAUGAGUAGGUAAAUGAAAAACAUAAAUAAAGAGAUAUAUUGAACAAUUUAAAGAGACCACAUUUUCAGCUGUACUCUGUACUCAUCUGUACUCUAUCUUCUUGUUUUGUCCUACUUUCUGUAUGCUUCCAAUGUGCUUCAGAGAUACAGUACUAUUAUGAUAUUGUUAAAUUAUUAUCACAAUUAUUAUUGCAGUUAUUAUCAUGAUUACUACAGUUAUUAAUAAAUAUUUAUUUCCUCGA
Oncorhynchus keta (chum salmon) is the source of this 3381-nucleotide long non-coding RNA. RefSeq lists it as uncharacterized. The record is from RefSeq and is a predicted model, not a curated record. The transcript has 2 exons. Lineage: Eukaryota; Metazoa; Chordata; Actinopteri; Salmoniformes; Salmonidae.